RNAcentral lists this ribosomal RNA (1525 nucleotides) under Escherichia coli. Its description in RNAcentral is "partial 23S ribosomal RNA". It matches the Rfam family "Bacterial large subunit ribosomal RNA", at positions 419 to 1929 of the family's 2925-position model. Lineage: Bacteria; Pseudomonadati; Pseudomonadota; Gammaproteobacteria; Enterobacterales; Enterobacteriaceae. The record is from RNAcentral.
GGGACACGUGGUAUCCUGUCUGAAUAUGGGGGGACCAUCCUCCAAGGCUAAAUACUCCUGACUGACCGAUAGUGAACCAGUACCGUGAGGGAAAGGCGAAAAGAACCCCGGCGAGGGGAGUGAAAAAGAACCUGAAACCGUGUACGUACAAGCAGUGGGAGCACGCUUAGGCGUGUGACUGCGUACCUUUUGUAUAAUGGGUCAGCGACUUAUAUUCUGUAGCAAGGUUAACCGAAUAGGGGAGCCGAAGGGAAACCGAGUCUUAACUGGGCGUUAAGUUGCAGGGUAUAGACCCGAAACCCGGUGAUCUAGCCAUGGGCAGGUUGAAGGUUGGGUAACACUAACUGGAGGACCGAACCGACUAAUGUUGAAAAAUUAGCGGAUGACUUGUGGCUGGGGGUGAAAGGCCAAUCAAACCGGGAGAUAGCUGGUUCUCCCCGAAAGCUAUUUAGGUAGCGCCUCGUGAAUUCAUCUCCGGGGGUAGAGCACUGUUUCGGCAAGGGGGUCAUCCCGACUUACCAACCCGAUGCAAACUGCGAAUACCGGAGAAUGUUAUCACGGGAGACACACGGCGGGUGCUAACGUCCGUCGUGAAGAGGGAAACAACCCAGACCGCCAGCUAAGGUCCCAAAGUCAUGGUUAAGUGGGAAACGAUGUGGGAAGGCCCAGACAGCCAGGAUGUUGGCUUAGAAGCAGCCAUCAUUUAAAGAAAGCGUAAUAGCUCACUGGUCGAGUCGGCCUGCGCGGAAGAUGUAACGGGGCUAAACCAUGCACCGAAGCUGCGGCAGCGACGCUUAUGCGUUGUUGGGUAGGGGAGCGUUCUGUAAGCCUGUGAAGGUGUGCUGUGAGGCAUGCUGGAGGUAUCAGAAGUGCGAAUGCUGACAUAAGUAACGAUAAAGCGGGUGAAAAGCCCGCUCGCCGGAAGACCAAGGGUUCCUGUCCAACGUUAAUCGGGGCAGGGUGAGUCGACCCCUAAGGCGAGGCCGAAAGGCGUAGUCGAUGGGAAACAGGUUAAUAUUCCUGUACUUGGUGUUACUGCGAAGGGGGGACGGAGAAGGCUAUGUUGGCCGGGCGACGGUUGUCCCGGUUUAAGCGUGUAGGCUGGUUUUCCAGGCAAAUCCGGAAAAUCAAGGCUGAGGCGUGAUGACGAGGCACUACGGUGCUGAAGCAACAAAUGCCCUGCUUCCAGGAAAAGCCUCUAAGCAUCAGGUAACAUCAAAUCGUACCCCAAACCGACACAGGUGGUCAGGUAGAGAAUACCAAGGCGCUUGAGAGAACUCGGGUGAAGGAACUAGGCAAAAUGGUGCCGUAACUUCGGGAGAAGGCACGCUGAUAUGUAGGUGAAGUCCCUCGCGGAUGGAGCUGAAAUCAGUCGAAGAUACCAGCUGGCUGCAACUGUUUAUUAAAAACACAGCACUGUGCAAACACGAAAGUGGACGUAUACGGUGUGACGCCUGCCCGGUGCCGGAAGGUUAAUUGAUGGGGUUAGCGCAAGCGAAGCUCUUGAUCGAAGCCCCGGUAAACG